UCAGCGAGCUCACGCUCACUAUCGGAUCGUUUUAGAAACAUCAGUGGCCAACAGAUCGCCAGAUCGUUGAGCUGCAUUGGCGGGAUUUCGCCGUCUUCGUUUCUCUUUCUUCGCGGACGAACACGCGCUGGGCCUGCAUCAAGCAGGACCCACGGUCCCUGACGGGAUAUGCGUUAGGGGCUUGUAGCUCAGUUGGUUAGAGCGCGCGCUUGAUAAGCGUGAGGUCGGAAGUUCAAGUCUUCCCAGGCCCACCACUUUCAUCGAGUGAGCAUUCGUCUUCUGGUUACGGGGCCAUAGCUCAGCUGGGAGAGCGCGUGCUUUGCAAGCAUGAGGUCGUCGGUUCGAUCCCGUCUGGCUCCACCAGAUGGUUUGAUCACCGAGAUCUUGCACCGUCGUCCGCGAAACAUCACUUCGCAUCCUGCUAGUCUGGAUAGACAGCAAGAUGCGUGUUUUCUGACAUCGUAAAGAGGAGAUCGAUCCGAGUUGGGUCGUGCAGCAGAUUGUUGCGCGAACCUUCAUUAUCUCCGGAUCAUUUUCGGCGCUCGCUUUCAGCCGUGAGGUUGAAUGCGAGUUGUAAAAUGAUCCUUUUAGCGAAGCUUGACCGCCUCGCUAUCGGAACGAUCUUACGAAGCAAGCUGGUCUUUCUAGUCAAUGUCCGGCUGCACGUAGCAUUCAUCGAGGGUGCGCGCCGUAAGGCAAUCGUGCAGACAACAUUCUGCCGAGUGUGUGGACAUUGAUAAUGAGAGCAAUCAAGUGCCUUAAGGGUGUUCGGUGGAUGCCUUGGCGCUGAGAGGCGAUGAAGGACGUGCUACGCUGCGAUAAGCC
Molecule: unclassified non-coding RNA, 825 nt
Filed under: Bradyrhizobium yuanmingense
Lineage: Bacteria; Pseudomonadati; Pseudomonadota; Alphaproteobacteria; Hyphomicrobiales; Nitrobacteraceae
Description: partial contains 16S-23S ribosomal RNA intergenic spacer and large subunit ribosomal RNA
Rfam family: tRNA (bases 178-251)
Source: RNAcentral